AUUUUAGUAGCUUAUAUAAUAGAGCGCAGUGUUGAAGAUACUGAGGAGGUAAAUUUACUUUAAAAUA
This 67-nucleotide transfer RNA is filed under the name Trigonopterus daun. Its description in RNAcentral is "tRNA-Phe". Lineage: Eukaryota; Metazoa; Arthropoda; Insecta; Coleoptera; Curculionidae. The record is from RNAcentral.